Molecule: ribosomal RNA, 82 nt
Filed under: Listeria monocytogenes
Lineage: Bacteria; Bacillati; Bacillota; Bacilli; Caryophanales; Listeriaceae
Source: RNAcentral
CCAUCCCGAACACGGUAGUUAAGCUUCUCUGCGCCAAUGGUAGUUGGGGGCUUCCCCCUGCGAGAGUAGGUCGCUGCCGGGC